Molecule: small nuclear RNA, 189 nt
Organism: Nycticebus coucang (slow loris)
Lineage: Eukaryota; Metazoa; Chordata; Mammalia; Primates; Lorisidae
Product: U2 spliceosomal RNA
Exons: 1
Source: RefSeq, a predicted model, not a curated record
ACUUCUUCUCAGACUUUUGGCUAAGAUUAAGUGUAGUAUUUAUGCUUGGUAGUUUAAUAUUUCAUAUGUCCUAUCCAAGGACAAUGUAUUAAAUGGAUUUUUGGAACAGGGAGAUAGAAUGGGAUCUUGCCCUGUCAACUCCAAACAUUUGCUUGGUUUUGCAAGACCUCCAGGAAUGGUGCACCCCUC